CUGAAGUCAGGCCACUUGUGCCACGGUUUGAGCAAGCCGUGCUGCCUGUAGCUCCGCCAAUAAUGGGAGGCGUAAUAAUCCCUAGGGAGGCCAUGCGCCACGGAAGCUGUACGCGUGGCAUAUUGGACUAGCGGUUAGAGGAGACCCCUCCCAUCACUGACAAAACGCAGCAUAAGGGGGCCCGAAGCCAGGAGGAAGCUGUACUCCUGGUGGAAGGACUAGAGGUUAGAGGAGACCCCCCCAACACAAAAACAGCA
RNAcentral lists this long non-coding RNA (257 nucleotides) under dengue virus type 4. Its description in RNAcentral is "Dengue virus type 4 partial sfRNA2". The stretch from base 176 to 248 matches the Rfam family "Flavivirus DB element". The record is from RNAcentral. Lineage: Riboviria; Orthornavirae; Kitrinoviricota; Flasuviricetes; Amarillovirales; Flaviviridae.